GUGUCAGCCGCCGCGGUAAGACGAACCGUGCGAACGUUGUUCGGAAUCACUGGGCUUAAAGGGCGCGUAGGCGGGUCAUCAAGUCGGGGGUGAAAUACUUCAGCUUAACUGGAGAACAGCCUUCGAUACUGGUGGCCUAGAGGGAGGUAGGGGUCUGUGGAACUUCCGGUGGAGCGGUGAAAUGCGUUGAUAUCGGAAGGAACGCCGGUGGCGAAAGCGACGGACUGGACCUUUUCUGACGCUGAGGCGCGAAAGCUAGGGGAGCAAACGGGAUUAGAAACCCCUGUAGUCC
This 292-nucleotide ribosomal RNA is filed under the name uncultured bacterium. RNAcentral describes it as "partial 16S ribosomal RNA". It matches the Rfam family "Bacterial small subunit ribosomal RNA", at positions 505 to 796 of the family's 1533-position model. The record is from RNAcentral.